GUAGGGAAUAUUGCGCAAUGGGGGAAACCCUGACGCAGCGACGCCGCGUGAGUGAUGAAGGCCUUCUGGUCGUAAAGCUCUGUUGCAGGGGAAUAAAAAAAUGAAGGUACCCUGUGAGGAAGGAUCGGCUAACUUCGUGCCAGCAGCCGCGGUAAGACGAGGGAUCCUAGCGUUGCUCGGAAUCAUUGGGCGUAAAGAGGGCGUAGGUGGCUUGGUAAGUCAGGUGUGAAAGCCCAGGGCUCAACCCUGGAAGUGCAUUUGAUACUGCUGAGCUUGAGUGUCGGAGAGGUUACCGGAAUACCUGGUGUAGUGGUGAAAUACGUAGAUAUCAGGUGGAACACCGGAGGCGAAGGCGGGUAACUGGACGAACACUGACACUGAGGCCCGAAAGCGUGGGGAUCAAACAGGAUUAGAAACCCCGGUAGUCC
This 428-nucleotide ribosomal RNA is filed under the name uncultured bacterium. RNAcentral describes it as "partial 16S ribosomal RNA". It matches the Rfam family "Bacterial small subunit ribosomal RNA", at positions 354 to 796 of the family's 1533-position model. The record is from RNAcentral.